This 243-nucleotide ribosomal RNA is filed under the name uncultured Actinomycetales bacterium. RNAcentral's name for it is "partial 16S ribosomal RNA". It matches the Rfam family "Bacterial small subunit ribosomal RNA", at positions 88 to 334 of the family's 1533-position model. The record is from RNAcentral. Lineage: Bacteria; Bacillati; Actinomycetota; Actinomycetes; Actinomycetales.
UACUCGAGUGGCGAACGGGUGAGUAACACGUGGGUGAUCUGCCCUGCACUUCGGGAUAAGCCUGGGAAACUGGGUCUAAUACCGGAUAGGAGCCAUUUUUAGUGUGAUGGUUGGAAAGUUUUUUCGGUGUAGGAUGAGCUCGCGGCCUAUCAGCUUGUUGGUGGGGUAGUGGCUUACCAAGGCUUUGACGGGUAGCCGGCCUGAGAGGGUGACCGGCCACAUUGGGACUGAGAUACGGCCCAG